Long non-coding RNA from Eriocheir sinensis (Chinese mitten crab), 4410 nucleotides. RefSeq lists it as uncharacterized. The transcript is spliced from 2 exons. The record is from RefSeq and is a predicted model, not a curated record. Lineage: Eukaryota; Metazoa; Arthropoda; Malacostraca; Decapoda; Varunidae.
ACACAUAUAGCAAUCUUUUUCAUUUGUCUGGCCGCAGCAUCUUACUUUGGCACACAGCAUUUAUUUUAAGUUAAGGAUCUUCCAGUAUCAACAAGUCCAAUAUACUUUCCUUACAUGGAUCACUCAUCACACACAAAAAAACACAUAUAGCAAUCUUUUUUAGUUGUUUGGCCCCAGCAUCUUACUUUGACACACAGCAUUUAUUUUAAGUUAAGGAUCUUCCAGUAUCAACAAGACCAAUAUUCUGUUGCAGGCGUAAAGUGACUCUAAAUAUUAUCAUAACAUUCAGUCACUUGGCCACAGUCUUAUUUUGACAGUUAAGAAUCAACCAUUAUCAAAAAGACUAAAUUUAUCUUGUAUGAUUCAGGUGUAAAGCAAAUCUAUGCAUAAUAAUUACAUCCUCAUUCAGUAAUUGGGUCCCAUGAUCUUACACUUGGCAAUCAGCACUUAUUUACAUCAAGAAUCAUUCAUUACCAACAACAAGACUAGAUUUUUCUUAUACAACUCAGACGUAAAGUAAAUCUCUGCAUAAUAAUUACAUCCUCAUUCAGUAAUUGGGUCUCCUGAUCUUUCUGUUAGCAAUCAGCACUUAUUUACAUCAAGAAUCAUUCAUUACCAACAACAAGACUAGAUUUUUCUUAUACAACUCAGACGUAAAGUAAAUCUCUGCAUAAUAAUUACAUCCUCAUUCAGUAAUUGGGUCCCAUCAUCUUUCUUUUGGCAAUCAGCACUUAUUUACGUCAAGAAUCAUUUAUUACCAACAAGACUAGAUUUUUCUUAUACAACUCAGACGUAAAGCAAAUCUAUGCAUAACAAUUACAUCCUCAUUCAGUAAUUGGGUCCCAUGAUCUUACGCUUGGCAAUCUGCAUUUAUUUACGUCAAGAAUCAUUCAUUACUAACAAGACUAGAUUUUUCUUAUACAACUCAGACAUAAAGCAAAUCUAUGCAUAAUAAUUACAUCUCAUUCAGUAAUUGGGUCCCAUGAUCUUUCUUUUGGCAAUCAGCACUUAUUUACAUCGAGAAUCAUUCAUUACCAACAACAAGACUAGAUUUUUCUUAUACAACUCAGACAUAAAGCAAAUCUAUGCAUAACAAUUAUAUCCUCAUUCAGUAAUUGGGUCUCCUGAUCUUUCUGUUAGCAAUCAGCACUUAUUUACAUCAAGAAUCAUUCAUUACCAACAACAAGACUAGAUUUUUCUUGUACAACUCUGACGUAAAGUAAAUCUAUGCAUAAUAAUUACAUCUUCAUUCAGUAAUUGGGUCCCAUGAUCUUACGCUUGGCAGUCAGCAUUUAUUUAUGUUAAGAAUCAUUCAUUACCAACACCACGAAGACCAAAUUUCCAUUGCAGGAAAAAGGCAAAAAGCAGAUCAAUAUGUGUAGAAUCACUGCAUCCGGAGUCGGUCAUUUGGUCCCACAGUCUUAUCCUUGACAAUCGGCAUUUAUUUUAGUUAAGAAUUAGCUUUUUAUCAACGAGACUGAAUUUCUCUGCCAUGAUUCAGACACAAAGACAGGUCACAUAAUUACACCCACAGUCACUCAUUUGGUUCCAUGAUUUUAGUUUUGAGAAUCCACAUUUAUUUACAUUUAGAAUCAGCCAUUAUCAACGACAAGAUCAAACUGACCUCGUAUAAUUCAGACACAAGACAGGUCACAUAAUUGCACUAGUCACUCAUUUGGUUCCAUGAUUUUAUUUUCGACAAUCAGCAUUUAUUUACGUUCAGAAUCGGCCAUUAUCAACGACAAGAUCACAUUGACCUCGUAUGAUUCAGACACAAAGACAGGUCACAUAAUUACGCCUAGUCACUCAUUUGGUUCCAUGAUUUUAGUUUCGACAAUCACCAUUUAUUUACAUUUAGAAUCGGCCAGUAUCAACAACAAGAUCACAUUGACCUCGUAUGAUUCAGACACAAAGACAGGUCACAUUAUUACACCUAGUCACACAUUUGGUUCCACGAUUUUAUUUUCGACAAUCAGCAUUUAUUUGCGUUUAGAAUCAGCCAUUAUCAACGACAAGAUCAAACUGACCUCGUAUGGUUCAGACACAAAGACAGGUCACAUUAUUACACCUAGUCACUCAUUUGGUUCCAAGAUCUUAUUUUUGACAAUCAGCGGUACUUUUAGAAUCGGCUUUUAUCAACAACCUCAACAAAACCAAAUUGAUCUUGUAUGAUUCAGAAAAAAAUAGAGGUCACAUUAUUACACCCACAGUCAGUCAUUUCAUUUCACGGUUUUAUUUAUUUUACUUUCGACAAUCAGCAUUUAUUGACAUUUAGAAUCGGCUAUAUCAUCAACAUCAACAGAACCAAAUUGACCUCGUACGAUUCAGACACAAAGACAGGUCACAUUAUUACACACAGUCAGUGAUUUGGUCUCAUGAUUUUAUUUUCAACAAUCAGAACUUAUUGAUGAUAGAAUCGGGUAUUAUCAACAACAUCAACAAAACCAAAUUGACCUCGUACGAUUCAGACACAAAAACGGGUCACAAUCACACCCACAGUCAAUGAUUUGGUCCCACGAUUUUAUUUUCGACAAUCAGCAUAUAUUAACGGUUAGAAUCGGGUAUUAACAACAUCAACAAACCAAAUUGACCUCAUAUGAUUCAGACACAAAAACAGGUCACAUAAUCACACCCACAGUCAGUGAUUUGGUCCCAUGAUUUUAUUUUUGACAAUCAGCAUAUAUUGACGGUUAGAAUCGGCUAUUAUCAAAAACAAGUCCAACUAUUCCUUGUAUGAUUUAAACACAAGCACAGGUCACGUCAUUAAACUCAAUCAAUCAUUUGGUCCCACAAUUUUAUUUUCGACAAUCCGCAUUUAUAUUUAGUCAAGGAUUGAUCUUCAACAACAUCAACCAGAACGCCACAACUUAUGCCUAUCACCAUGUCGAGAAUGCGUCAAGUUACCGUAGUCACCGCCAGCCAGCUAAUCCAUUAUUCCUCGCCCUUCCCUUCACCCUCGACCCAGAGCAGCGGUGGUCACUGAUUCUGCUGGGAACUUCAGUAUAAACAUCUCCUCGUCCCUAGCAUGAAAAGAUAAAUUCAAAGUUCAGAUAUUAUUUUUCAACUGCAAACUGAAAUAAUAAAGGCCAGGUUAUUCCUAAGUUCAUAAGAUUGAUUCACUGUUCAUAUGUAUAUCUUAUCACAUACUAGAAUCACAAACUUAAAAGAUCAGUUCAGUGGGUCAGAUUUUUUUUUUACUAUCGCAGACUAAAAUGAUAAACACCAGAUUAUUCGUAAAGUCAUAAGAUUACGUAGUUCAAUGUUGACAUUUUUUAAUAAUAAGCCUGAUCAAUUCAUGGUUUGGAUAUUUUUUUUCUAUCGCAAACUAAAAUAAACUUGAGAAAAUGAGAGACAAGUCCAGGAAGAGGGUGUGGCUUAAAGGACAAGGUGGCUGGCAGUGACUAUGAAUGAGCCCUUCAGAAUCACAAGAUCGCAAGCACCAAUUAAUAAGGACGAGAAAGCUAUUAUUUAAGUUCGUUUUGUCUAUACAUCCUAAAAGCUACUGGACCUUUUUGAAUAAUCCUAAAGCCUCGUGUCACACUUCCACAAGACAAGACGCAUUCUUGAACCUGUUACCUUACGAGCAAAGAUUAUAAUGUCAUCUUUGUUGUGAGAUAAAAGAAGGAAAUACAGCAGAAGGAAGGCUGUUAGAUAAUCACAGUUGUACCUCAUAUCACACUUCCACAAGACAGGACACUCGCUUCACACUGUUACCUUAUUAGCAAAGACUAUAAUGUCUCCUUUGUGGUGAGAUUAAAGGAAGUAAAGAAAAAGGAAGGCUAUCAGAUCAUCAUUUUACCUCACGUCUCAUUUCCACGAGAGAGGACAUGUGAAUGAACUUUGUUACUCUAAAAUCAGUGUUCUAACUUUUGCCAUUAAAUAAGAGAGGGAAAUACGGCUAAACAAAGGCUGUUGGAUAAUAUUUUUACCUCACAUCACACCUGCUUGAACACAUUACUCUAAAAUCAGCGUUCUUUCUUCUUGGUCGUAGCAUAAGAGUAGGAAAUACAGCUAGGCAGAGGCACAAAAGCUGUUGGAUAAUGUUUUCAACUCACAUCACACUCCAAGUUAGAGGACAUCAUGUAACCUGUUGCCAGCACAAUCAGCAUCUUUGCCUUGGUGGUGCUUGCGGCCUUGUCACUCCAGUGGGCUCAUCGUUCGCUGCGUCACUGGUUGUUGGUCUCUGUGGCGUCCUCCUCCUCCUCCUCCUCCACCAUUCCAUUCUCGCUAAGUUUCGCUGCUAAGGUCAUUGUGAUAGUAGGUGUAUCUCUUGCUGCAGAACAAAAGAAAACAAAGGAGUUGACCAUGAAAGACUUGUGUUCCAGCUGCCCGCGAGACUCUUUGGUCAUCAGCGAGGCAGCGACUGUUUUAUACAAGUUUUGUAAAUAAAAUUGUAAUAACUAAACCUUA